This 465-nucleotide ribosomal RNA is filed under the name Vreelandella stevensii. RNAcentral describes it as "partial 16S ribosomal RNA". It matches the Rfam family "Bacterial small subunit ribosomal RNA", at positions 338 to 795 of the family's 1533-position model. Lineage: Bacteria; Pseudomonadati; Pseudomonadota; Gammaproteobacteria; Oceanospirillales; Halomonadaceae. The record is from RNAcentral.
CCUACGGGGGGCAGCAGUGGGGAAUAUUGGACAAUGGGCGAAAGCCUGAUCCAGCCAUGCCGCGUGUGUGAAGAAGGCCUUCGGGUUGUAAAGCACUUUCAGUGGGGAAGAAAGCCUUGGGGCUAAUACCCUCGAGGAAGGACAUCACCCACAGAAGAAGCACCGGCUAACUCCGUGCCAGCAGCCGCGGUAAUACGGAGGGUGCGAGCGUUAAUCGGAAUUACUGGGCGUAAAGCGCGCGCAGGCGGUCUGAUAAGCCGGUUGUGAAAGCCCCGGGCUCAACCUGGGAACGGCAUCCGGAACUGUCAGGCUAGAGUGCAGGAGAGGAAGGUAGAAUUCCCGGUGUAGCGGUGAAAUGCGUAGAGAUCGGGAGGAAUACCAGUGGCGAAGGCGGCCUUCUGGACUGACACUGACGCUGAGGUGCGAAAGCGUGGGUAGCAAACAGGAUUAGAUACCCGAGUAGUC